RNAcentral lists this ribosomal RNA (1616 nucleotides) under metagenome. RNAcentral describes it as "bacterial LSU rRNA". It matches the Rfam family "Bacterial large subunit ribosomal RNA", at positions 1429 to 2925 of the family's 2925-position model. The record is from RNAcentral.
CCAUAUAUUCCCGUACCCGCUUCAAUGCGCCCAUAUCGAACCUCGUGAUGCUAAGAGUCCUUAAGUCCUCUGAUGUCCUUCGGGACUAGGGGUGAGGCUGAACGCUCGAUCCGAUCGGGUAGUAGGUAAGCGAUGGGGUGACGCAGGAAGGUAGUCCAGCCCAGGCGAUGGUUGUCCUGGGGUAAGCAUGUAGGGCGGAACGUAGGUAAAUCCGCGUUCUAUUCAGCCUGAGAUGUGAUGCCGAGCCGAUUGUGGUGAAGUGGAUGAUCCUAUGCUGCCGAGAAAAGCCUCUAGUGAGUGUUGUGGCGGCCCGUACCCUAAACCGACUCAGGUGGUCAGGUAGAGAAUACCAAGGCGAUCGGGUGAACUGUGGUUAAGGAACUCGGCAAAUUGCCCCCGUAACUUCGGGAGAAGGGGGACCUCUGCUGGUGAUGGGCUUUACGUUCUGAGCUGGUGGGGGUCGCAGUGGCCAGGGGGAAGCGACUGUUUACUAAAAACACAGGUCCGUGCGAAGUCGUAAGACGAUGUAUACGGACUGACGCCUGCCCGGUGCCGGAACGUUAAGGGGACCGCUUAGCCAACGCGAGUUGGCGAAGGUGAGAACUUAAGCGCCGGUAAACGGCGGUGGUAACUAUAACCAUCCUAAGGUAGCGAAAUUCCUUGUCGGGUAAGUUCCGACCUGCACGAAUGGCGUAACGACUUCCCCGCUGUCUCAACCACAGACCCGGCGAAAUUGCACUACGAGUAAAGAUGCUCGUUUCGCGCAGCAGGACGGAAAGACCCCGGGACCUUCACUACAGCUUGACAUUGGCGUUUGGAACGUCUUGUGUAGGAUAGGUGGGAGACUGGGAAGCUGUCACGCUAGUGAUGGUGGAGUCAUUGGUGAAAUACCACUCUGGUCGUUUUGAACGUCUAACUCUGGUCCGUGAUCCGGAUCGGGGACAGUGUCUGGUGGGUAGUUUAACUGGGGCGGUUGCCUCCUAAAGAGUAACGGAGGCGCCCAAAGGUUCCCUCAGCCUGGUUGGCAAUCAGGUGUUGAGUGUAAGUGCACAAGGGAGCUUGACUGUGAGACUGACAGGUCGAGCAGGAGCGAAAGCUGGGACUAGUGAUCCGGCAUCGGCGUGUGGAAGCGGUGUCGCUCAACGGCUAAAAGGUACCCCGGGGAUAACAGGCUGAUCUUCCCCAAGAGUCCAUAUCGACGGGAUGGUUUGGCACCUCGAUGUCGGCUCGUCGCAUCCUGGGGCUGGAGUAGGUCCCAAGGGUUGGGCUGUUCGCCCAUUAAAGCGGUACGCGAGCUGGGUUUAGAACGUCGCGAGACAGUUCGGUCCCUAUCCGCUGCGCGCGCAGGAGACUUGAAGGGGGCUGUCCCUAGUACGAGAGGACCGGGACGGACGAACCUCUGGUGUGCCAGUUGUACCGCCAGGUGCACGGCUGGUUGGCUACGUUCGGAAGGGAUAACCGCUGAAAGCAUCUAAGCGGGAAGCUCGCCUUGAGAUGAGGUCUCCCACCCUGUGAGGGGGUAAGGCUCCCGGUAGAUCACCGGGUUGAUAGGCCGGAGGUGGAAGCACGGUAACGUGUGGAGCUGACCGGUACUAAUAGGCCGAGGACUUGACCAC